This is a non-coding RNA of Roridomyces roridus, 99 nucleotides long. Lineage: Eukaryota; Fungi; Basidiomycota; Agaricomycetes; Agaricales; Mycenaceae. The record is from the annotation of a GenBank genome assembly.
GGGCACAUGGUGUAGGGGUUAUCACUCAUGCUUUGCAGCGGCCGGUUCGACGCCGGCUUCAAUUGUAUGCGGUCCUGGGUUCAAAUCCCAGUGUGUCCA